RNAcentral lists this ribosomal RNA (456 nucleotides) under uncultured bacterium. Its description in RNAcentral is "bacterial SSU rRNA". It matches the Rfam family "Bacterial small subunit ribosomal RNA", at positions 57 to 512 of the family's 1533-position model. The record is from RNAcentral.
GCAGUCGAACGGAGCACCCUUGACUGAGGUUUCGGCCAAAUGAUAGGAAUGCUUAGUGGCGGACUGGUGAGUAACGCGUGAGGAACCUGCCUUUCAGAGGGGGACAACAGUUGGAAACGACUGCUAAUACCGCAUGAUGCGUAACUGGGACAUCCCGGAUACGCCAAAGAUUUUAUCGCUGAAAGAUGGCCUCGCGUCUGAUUAGAUAGUUGGCGGGGUAACGGCCCACCAAGUCGACGAUCAGUAGCCGGACUGAGAGGUUGACCGGCCACAUUGGGACUGAGAUACGGCCCAGACUCCUACGGGAGGCAGCAGUCGGGAAUAUUGCGCAAUGGAGGAAACUCUGACGCAGUGACGCCGCGUGCAGGAAGAAGGUUUUCGGAUUGUAAACUGCUUUAGACAGGGAAGAAACAAGACAGUACCUGUAGAAUAAGCUCCGGCUAACUACGUGCCAGC